This 253-nucleotide ribosomal RNA is filed under the name uncultured bacterium. RNAcentral's name for it is "partial 16S ribosomal RNA". It matches the Rfam family "Bacterial small subunit ribosomal RNA", at positions 524 to 776 of the family's 1533-position model. The record is from RNAcentral.
UCCGUAGGUGACAAUCGUUAUCCGGAAUUACUGGGCGUAAAGCGCACGCAGGUGGCUACUUAAGUCUGACGUGAAAGCUCCUGGCUUAACUGGGAGAGGUCGUUGGAAACUGAGUGGCUUGAGGCGAUGAGAGGGGUAUGGAAUUCCCGGUGUAGUGGUGGAAUGCGUAGAGAUCGGGAGGAACACCAGCGGUGAAAGCGAUACCCUAGCGUUAGCCUGACGCUCAUGUGCGAAAGCGUGGGGAGCGAACGGG